GUGCUCGCUUUGGCAGCACAUAUACUAAAAUUGGGGUAAUACAGAGAAGAUUAGCAUGGCCCCUGUGCCAGGAUGACAUGAAAAUACUACAAAAAUAAAAUAAAAUA
Molecule: small nuclear RNA, 107 nt
Filed under: Propithecus coquereli (Coquerel's sifaka)
Lineage: Eukaryota; Metazoa; Chordata; Mammalia; Primates; Indriidae
Source: RNAcentral